This 468-nucleotide ribosomal RNA is filed under the name uncultured bacterium. RNAcentral's name for it is "partial 16S ribosomal RNA". It matches the Rfam family "Bacterial small subunit ribosomal RNA", at positions 28 to 507 of the family's 1533-position model. The record is from RNAcentral.
GACGAACGCUGGCGGCGUGCUUAACACAUGCAAGUCGAACGGAAAGGCCCUGCUUUUGUGGGGUGCUCGAGUGGCGAACGGGUGAGUAACACGAGAGUAACCUGACCUUGACUUUGGGAUAACUUCAGGAAACUGGGGCUAAUACCGGAUAGGAGCUCCUGUUGCAUGGAGGGGGAUGGAAAGUUUCGGCGGUUGGGGAUUGACUCGCGGCUUAUCAGCUUGUUGGUGGGGUAGUGGCUUACCAAGGCUUGGACGGGUAGCCGGCCUGAGAGGGUGACCGGCCACAUUGGGACUGUGCUACGGCCCGGACUCCUACGGGAGGCAGCAGUGGGGAAUAUUGCACGAUGGGCGGAAGCCUGAUGCAGCAACGCCGCGUUCGGGAUGACGGCCUUCUGGUUGUAAACCGCUUUCGCCUGUGACGAAGCGUGCGUGACGGUAAUGGAUAAAGAAGCACCGGCUAACUACGUG